This 1801-nucleotide ribosomal RNA is filed under the name Salmonella enterica subsp. enterica. RNAcentral's name for it is "partial 23S ribosomal RNA". It matches the Rfam family "Bacterial large subunit ribosomal RNA", at positions 1173 to 2925 of the family's 2925-position model. Lineage: Bacteria; Pseudomonadati; Pseudomonadota; Gammaproteobacteria; Enterobacterales; Enterobacteriaceae. The record is from RNAcentral.
CAGCGGGUUACGAUUGACGGAGCGAAGCGACGUCAAAGCGUAUACAAAGUCGAGUCGGUUUAAGGAUACGUUCGUUGGGUAGGGGAGCGUUCUGUAAGCCCGUGAAGGUGGCCUGUGAGGGUUGCUGGAGGUAUCAGAAGUGCGAAUGCUGACAUAAGUAACGAUAAAGCGGGUGAAAAGCCCGCUCGCCGGAAGACCAAGGGUUCCUGUCCAACGUUAAUCGGGGCAGGGUGAGUCGACCCCUAAGGCGAGGCCGAAAGGCGUAGUCGAUGGGAAACGGGUUAAUAUUCCCGUACUUGGUGUUACUGCGAAGGGGGGACGGAGAAGGCUAUGUUGGCCGGGCGACGGUUGUCCCGGUUUAAGCGUGUAGGUGUGUGUUCCAGGUAAAUCCGGUUCACUUUAACACUGAGGCGUGACGACGAGGCACUACGGUGCUGAAGCAACAAAUGCCCUGCUUCCAGGAAAAGCCUCUAAGCAUCAGGUAACAUCAAAUCGUACCCCAAACCGACACAGGUGGUCAGGUAGAGAAUACCAAGGCGCUUGAGAGAACUCGGGUGAAGGAACUAGGCAAAAUGGUGCCGUAACUUCGGGAGAAGGCACGCUGACACGUAGGUGAAGUGAUUUACUCAUGGAGCUGAAGUCAGUCGAAGAUACCAGCUGGCUGCAACUGUUUAUUAAAAACACAGCACUGUGCAAACACGAAAGUGGACGUAUACGGUGUGACGCCUGCCCGGUGCCGGAAGGUUAAUUGAUGGGGUCAGCGCAAGCGAAGCUCCUGAUCGAAGCCCCGGUAAACGGCGGCCGUAACUAUAACGGUCCUAAGGUAGCGAAAUUCCUUGUCGGGUAAGUUCCGACCUGCACGAAUGGCGUAAUGAUGGCCAGGCUGUCUCCACCCGAGACUCAGUGAAAUUGAACUCGCUGUGAAGAUGCAGUGUACCCGCGGCAAGACGGAAAGACCCCGUGAACCUUUACUAUAGCUUGACACUGAACAUUGAGCCUUGAUGUGUAGGAUAGGUGGGAGGCUUUGAAGUGUGGACGCCAGUCUGCAUGGAGCCGACCUUGAAAUACCACCCUUUAAUGUUUGAUGUUCUAACGUGGACCCGUAAUCCGGGUUGCGGACAGUGUCUGGUGGGUAGUUUGACUGGGGCGGUCUCCUCCUAAAGAGUAACGGAGGAGCACGAAGGUUGGCUAAUCCUGGUCGGACAUCAGGAGGUUAGUGCAAUGGCAUAAGCCAGCUUGACUGCGAGCGUGACGGCGCGAGCAGGUGCGAAAGCAGGUCAUAGUGAUCCGGUGGUUCUGAAUGGAAGGGCCAUCGCUCAACGGAUAAAAGGUACUCCGGGGAUAACAGGCUGAUACCGCCCAAGAGUUCAUAUCGACGGCGGUGUUUGGCACCUCGAUGUCGGCUCAUCACAUCCUGGGGCUGAAGUAGGUCCCAAGGGUAUGGCUGUUCGCCAUUUAAAGUGGUACGCGAGCUGGGUUUAGAACGUCGUGAGACAGUUCGGUCCCUAUCUGCCGUGGGCGCUGGAGAACUGAGGGGGGCUGCUCCUAGUACGAGAGGACCGGAGUGGACGCAUCACUGGUGUUCGGGUUGUCAUGCCAAUGGCACUGCCCGGUAGCUAAAUGCGGAAGAGAUAAGUGCUGAAAGCAUCUAAGCACGAAACUUGCCCCGAGAUGAGUUCUCCCUGAGACUUAGAGUCUCCUGAAGGAACGUUGAAGACGACGACGUUGAUAGGCCGGGUGUGUAAGCGCAGCGAUGCGUUGAGCUAACCGGUACUAAUGAACCGUGAGGCUUAACCUUACA